UCCUCAAACCCCCCUGGGGCCCCCCCGAAGCCCCUCUGGGACUCUCCAAAACCCCCCAGCCCCUUCCCCCGCUCCCCCCCGAGCCCUCUCGGACCCCUCCCGGGACCCCCCAACUCCGCCUAAGACCCCCCCGGGGCUGGGUACAGCCGCAGCAGCUCGCUCCGCGCCGCCAUCUUGCCUCCGUGCCGUCACUUCCGGCUGGCAGGCGACGCUCUGGGCUCUCCUCUCGCUGGUCAAAGCCGCUCUAGGCCUCCGAGGUCCUCCAGGCGCCACUGCGAGCGGCUCUGGGCCAAAGCAAUGACUGUGCUCAGCUGCAGGGAUGGAUUUGCCUGCACUCAAGCUGCUGCUGCCAGAGCCCCUCCGUGUCAAUCUGUGCUGCCGUUGGGUUCUGCAGCUCUCUCCAGCAAGCAUGGCAUGAGCUGAAGGAGCAGCAGGAGCAGCAUGGCCGUUCCCCAGGCAGCAGGAGGGUUCAGCCCAGCACCAGCUCAUGCGGGAGGAGCAGAUGCUGAGGAACAUCCCCCACGAGACGCAGGUGGCCAAAGAGGCUGGGUCAGGAGAGUCCCAUUUCAUUCUUGAUGCUUUCUUUAAGAGAGGCAUACAACUGAGCUCCCUCAGAGAAGCAGCAUGAAGUGCAUGAAGGAUGCUGGCUGCACUCAGUACAGACAAGGCACAUUGGAUUGACUACUUCUUCUCUGGCCUUUGGAGUGAAGGAAGGGAAAAACCAGAGUUGAAGAUGUCAGCUCUGUGCCAAAAAGGAGACCUUCUUCACCUGCUUCUCCUGUGCAAGCUCUUCUGUCUGUCUGCUGAGAUGUUUCUGCCUGUUUCUCUGGCAGAGAAGUGUUUGCUUUUUGGGCUGGCGAGCUGACCAUCCGUACUACCGUCGCCUUGAAUGCCUCCAACCAGCAGUGUUUGCUGCCAGACAGACACCUGGAGAAGACAGAGGACAUGGUUAAGUUCAUGAAGGAUAUCUUGGAUGGUGCUGCUGAAGCACAGGCUGGUGAUGGACUUCUGCAACGAAGCAAGAGAGUCAUCUAUGAGGCCAAGGCUGCUGUAAUGGUAGAGUUCAUUGCUUAUUCAGUGAGGUGAUGCUCUUGUCAGUCAAGAAGGACUUAGUUGCAGAGGCUUUAGAAAUGCUUUGAUGUAAGCUUGUUGCUAUGCUGUGCCUAGUGUAUCUAUUGUCACUAUUUAGAACUAGGCUUAAACCAAAUGAACUUCUGGAUUAAAACAGCCAAUCAUGUCUGCCACA
Pogoniulus pusillus (Red-fronted tinkerbird) is the source of this 1246-nucleotide RNA transcript. It is a transcript of the gene named protein disulfide-isomerase TMX3-like, with no coding region annotated. Lineage: Eukaryota; Metazoa; Chordata; Aves; Piciformes; Lybiidae. The record is from RefSeq and is a predicted model, not a curated record. The transcript is spliced from 6 exons.